Molecule: long non-coding RNA, 1041 nt
Filed under: Mytilus galloprovincialis (Mediterranean mussel)
Lineage: Eukaryota; Metazoa; Mollusca; Bivalvia; Mytilida; Mytilidae
Source: RNAcentral
CAUCUACCUCGUGCAUACAUGUAUCUUUGGAUCAUUGUCAGGUUUUGGCUAUUGUACUGUUAACCCUAUUCAGUUAAAUAAGCUCAUUAAAGUUCGUUAUAAGUUUUUUACUUUUAAAUAGUUUGACCUAGGGUAUCACUGAAGACAUUAAAUGUCGAAAUGUAUCUCUGAAGCUGGUAUCGAUUAAUAUUUUGAGGCACGUGUUUGUUUGUGAGACAUGAAUAUUGAACCUUUUUUUGUCAAUUUUUGACGAAGAAAAAAGGUAUUUAGGAAAGAGAUACAUUAUAUUCAGCUACUCAAACAAGUCCACAAAACACUACAUAAGACUUUUAACUGACGAACCCCACCAGAAAACAAACUAAGUUUAUUAUCAUGUACUCCAGAACUAAACAGAUCCUACUCCACUAGUGGCACCUGACACGUUGCUCAUGGUACUUACGAAAUUUUGGUGGUAAGUCUAAAGACGGUGAUGUCAUAAUCGAGGAAAAGAAGACGGAAUUGUUAUUACGAUGAUUCGAACAUAAUGAUAUUGAACUGCGCCAGAUUUCUUUCGACAAUAAAUUUCUCUUCUUCGGUGAUUCUAGAGGUCAAAGUAUUUGAAAGUUUAAAUAUAAGAUAGUUCAUUAUUUCAUAGCUUGUUUGUGUCUUUUUUAGGUUGGGGGGGUGUAUUAGUUCAUUUGGUCUGUUGAGAGAGGGGAUUUGUUUUUUUUACAAUUUAUUAUUAUUUAUUCAAUUCAAUAUAUAUAUAUUACAACCGGUUAACAGAGACCUGAUGAUAUCAAAGGGGGUGCUUUUUUAUUAAGUAACUGAAACUAAAAAGUGAAAUGUUACACUUUCAACUGUACUGUCUUUCACUUUAACGCAAGUUUAAGCAACAAUUGUAGGUUGCAAAUACACUUUAUUUAACCAUAGGACUCAUAUACAUAUAAUUGAAACAUUCAGUCAUACAUACCAUCAAAUCUACCUCUAUUUGAUUCAUUUCUUGAUUUUUUUUGUGUUCACUGUUUAAAAUAUGUUGACAUUCGAAAUAAAAAUAACGCA